RNAcentral lists this ribosomal RNA (760 nucleotides) under uncultured bacterium. RNAcentral's name for it is "bacterial SSU rRNA". It matches the Rfam family "Bacterial small subunit ribosomal RNA", at positions 625 to 1390 of the family's 1533-position model. The record is from RNAcentral.
CUCUAAUACUGUAGGACUAGAGAGUAGAUGCGGUAGGCGGAAUGUAUGGUGUAGCGGUGAAAUGCGUAGAGAUCAUACAGAACACCGAUUGCGAAGGCAGCUUACCAAACUAUAUCUGACGUUGAGGCACGAAAGCGUGGGUAGCAAACAGGAUUAGAUACCCUGGUAGUCCACGCAGUAAACGAUGAUAGCUCGUUGUCGGCGAUACACAGUCGGUGACUUAGAGAAAUCGACAAGCUAUCCACCUGGGGAGUACGUUCGCAAGAAUGAAACUCAAAGGAAUUGACGGGGGCCCGCACAAGCGGAGGAACAUGUGGUUUAAUUCGAUGAUACGCGAGGAACCUUACCCGGGCUUGAAAGUUAGUGACGGAUCUGGAAACAGGUCUUCCCUUCGGGGCACGAAACUAGGUGCUGCAUGGUUGUCGUCAGCUCGUGCCGUGAGGUGUCGGGUUAAGUCCCAUAACGAGCGCAACCCUUGCUGUUAGUUGCCAUCAGGUCAAGCUGGGCACUCUAACGGGACUGCCUCUGUAAGGAGGAGGAAGGUGAGGAUGACGUCAAAUCAGCACGGCCCUUACGUCCGGGGCGACACACGUGUUACAAUGGUAGGUACAGAGGGCAGCCACCCAGCGAUGGGGCGCAAAUCUCGAAAGCCUAUCUCAGUUCGGAUUGGAGGCUGAAACUCGCCUCCAUGAAGUUGGAUUCGCUAGUAAUCGCGCAUCAGCCAUGGCGCGGUGAAUACGUUCCCGGGCCUUGUACACAC